RNAcentral lists this ribosomal RNA (253 nucleotides) under uncultured bacterium. Its description in RNAcentral is "partial 16S ribosomal RNA". It matches the Rfam family "Bacterial small subunit ribosomal RNA", at positions 524 to 776 of the family's 1533-position model. The record is from RNAcentral.
UACGUAGGGUGCGAGCGUUAAUCGGAAUUACUGGGCGUAAAGCGUGCGCAGGCGGUUUUGCAAGCCGGAUGUGAAAUCCCCGGGCGUAACCUGGGAAUGGCAUUUGGGACUGCAAGGCUGGAGUGCGGCAGAGGAGACUGGAAUUCCUGGUGUAGCAGUGAAAUGCGUAGAGAUCGGGAGGAACAUCUGUGGCGAAGGCGGCCAUCUGGACCAGCACUGACACUGAGGCACGAAAGCGUGGGGAGCAAACAGG